AACGAACGCUGGCGGCAUGCCUAACACAUGCAAGUCGAACGAGACCUUCGGGUCUAGUGGCGCACGGGUGCGUAACGCGUGGGAACCUGCCCUUAGGUUCGGAAUAACUCCCCGAAAGGGGUGCUAAUACCGGAUAAUGUCUUCGGACCAAAGAUUUAUCGCCUUUGGAUGGGCCCGCGUUGGAUUAGCUAGUUGGUAGGGUAAAAGCCUACCAAGGCGACGAUCCAUAGCUGGUCUGAGAGGAUGAUCAGCCACACUGGGACUGAGACACGGCCCAGACUCCUACGGAAGGCAGCAGUGGGGAAUAUUGGACGAUGGGAGAAAGCCUGAUCCAGCAAUGCCGCGUGAGUGAUGAAGGCCUUAGGGUUGUAAAGCUCUCUUACCCGGGAUGAUAAUGACAGUACCGGGAGAAUAAACUCCGGCUAACUCCGUG
Molecule: ribosomal RNA, 433 nt
Filed under: uncultured bacterium
Lineage: Bacteria
Description: partial 16S ribosomal RNA
Rfam family: Bacterial small subunit ribosomal RNA
Source: RNAcentral